Molecule: non-coding RNA, 27 nt
Filed under: Mus musculus (house mouse)
Lineage: Eukaryota; Metazoa; Chordata; Mammalia; Rodentia; Muridae
Source: RNAcentral
UGGUCUAUGGUGCACACCUGCUGGGUU